This is a long non-coding RNA of Bombus impatiens (common eastern bumble bee), 173 nucleotides long. RefSeq lists it as uncharacterized. NCBI's taxonomy places the organism in Eukaryota, Metazoa, Arthropoda, Insecta, Hymenoptera, Apidae. The transcript has 2 exons. The record is from RefSeq and is a predicted model, not a curated record.
UCAUUUGAACAGAAGAAUAAUUAUUUGCAUCUUUAUUCUCGUAUACGAUCCUGUUCCUACGUACCGUACCGAUGAAUAGCAGAAAAGAUGUGUAUACAGAUCGGAUCGGUGACAGAGCAAAUAUAGAUAACAUUUUUUCCUAUUCUUUUAUAUAAUGUAACAAUGUUUGAGAA